This 530-nucleotide ribosomal RNA is filed under the name uncultured Glomus. RNAcentral's name for it is "SSU rRNA". It matches the Rfam family "Eukaryotic small subunit ribosomal RNA", at positions 561 to 1092 of the family's 1831-position model. Lineage: Eukaryota; Fungi; Glomeromycota; Glomeromycetes; Glomerales; Glomeraceae. The record is from RNAcentral.
CUGGUGCCAGCAGCCGCGGUAAUUCCAGCUCCAAUAGCGUAUAUUAAAGUUGUUGCAGUUAAAAAGCUCGUAGUUGAAUUUCGGGAUUAAUUUAUUGGUCGUGCUAUUGUAUGUACUGGUGUUACUGAUUCCUACCUUCUGACGAACCGUCAUGUCAUUCAUUUGGUGUGGCGGGGAAUCAGGACUGUUACUUUGAAAAAAUUAGAGUGUUUAAAGCAGGCUCGCGCUUGAAUACAUUAGCAUGGAAUAAUGAAAUAGGACGUUUGAUCCUAAUUUUGUUGGUUUCUAGGAUCAACGUAAUGAUUAAUAGGGAUAGUUGGGGGCAUUAGUAUUCAAUUGUCAGAGGUGAAAUUCUUGGAUUUAUUGAGGACUAACUACUGCGAAAGCAUUUGCCAAGGAUGUUUUCAUUAAUCAAGAACGAAAGUUAGGGGAUCGAAGACGAUCAGAUACCGUCGUAGUCUUAACCAUAAACUAUGCCGACUAGGGAUCGGAUGAUGUUAAUUUUUUAAUGACUCAUUCGGCGCCUUACG